RNAcentral lists this ribosomal RNA (406 nucleotides) under uncultured bacterium. Its description in RNAcentral is "partial 16S ribosomal RNA". It matches the Rfam family "Bacterial small subunit ribosomal RNA", at positions 30 to 526 of the family's 1533-position model. The record is from RNAcentral.
AUUGAACGCUGGCGGCAGGCCUAACACAUGCAAGUCGAGCGAGCGGCGGACGCGUGAGUAAUGUAUGUGGGUCUGCCCGAUAGAGAGGGGUAACUCCUGGAAACAGUGGCUAAUACAGCAUACUGUAUGAUGAACGCAUAUGGGAUUAGCUAUUAGGUAAGGGAAUGGCGUACCUAGGCGACGCUCCCUAUCUGGUCUGAGAGGGUGCUCAGCCACACUGGGACUGAGACACGGUCCAGACUCCUACGGGAGGCAGCAGUGGGGAAUAUUGCACAAUGGGCGCAAGCCUGAUGCAGCCAUGCCGCGUGUAUGAAGAAGGCCCUAGGGUUGUAAAGUACUUUCAGUCGGGAGGCGUUACCGACAGAAGAAGCACCGGCUAACUCCGUGCCAGCAGCCGCGGUAAUUC